AUUGAACGCUGGCGGCAGGCCUAACACAUGCAAGUCGAGCGAGCGGCGGACGGGUGUGUAAUGUAUGGGGACUGCCCGAUAGAGGGGGAUAACUACUGGCAACGGUAUCUAAUACCGCCUACUAUCUGAUAAACCCUGUGGGAUUAGCUAGGAGGUGAGGUAAUGGCUCACCUAGGCGCCGAUCCCUAGCUGGUCUGCGAGGAUGAUCAGCAACACUGGGACUGAGAAACGGCCCAGACUCCUACGGAGGCAGCAGUGGGGAAUAGUGCACAAUGGGCGCAACCCUGAUGCAGCCAUGCCGCGUGUAUGAGGAAGGCCCUAGGGUUGUAAAGUACUUUCAGUCGGGAGGCGUUACCGACAGAAGAAGCACCGGCUAACUCCGUGCCAGCAGCCGCGGUAAUUC
This 403-nucleotide ribosomal RNA is filed under the name uncultured bacterium. RNAcentral describes it as "partial 16S ribosomal RNA". It matches the Rfam family "Bacterial small subunit ribosomal RNA", at positions 30 to 526 of the family's 1533-position model. The record is from RNAcentral.